GACGAACGCUGGCGGCGUGCCUAAUACAUGCAAGUAGAACGCUGAAGGAGGAGCUUGCUUCUCUGGAUGAGUUGCGAACGGGUGAGUAACGCGUAGGUAACCUGCCUGGUAGCGGGGGAUAACUAUUGGAAACGAUAGCUAAUACCGCAUAAGAGUAGAUGUCGCAUGACAUUUGCUUAAAAGGUGCAAUUGCAUCACUACCAAAUGGACCUGCGUUGUAUUAGCUAGUUGGUGAGGUAACGGCUCACCAAGGCAACGAUACAUAGCCGACCUGAGAGGGGGAUCGGCCAACCUGGGACUGAGACACGGCCCAGACCCCCACGGGAGGCAGCAGUAGGGAAACUUCGGGAAUUGACGGAAGUCUGACCGGGCAACGCCGCGGGAGGGAAGAAGGUUUUCGGAUCGUAAAGCUCUGUUGUAAGAGAAGAACGAGUGUGGGAGUGGAAAGUUCACACUGUGACGGUAUCUUACCAGAAAGGGACGGCUAACUACGUG
RNAcentral lists this ribosomal RNA (495 nucleotides) under uncultured bacterium. Its description in RNAcentral is "partial 16S ribosomal RNA". It matches the Rfam family "Bacterial small subunit ribosomal RNA", at positions 28 to 507 of the family's 1533-position model. The record is from RNAcentral.